GAUGGGGGGAGAGGCCUUACAACGCCCUAAUGUACCCCCACAGCCCUGUUAGGGACAGGAAGAAAACCUCGCCCUAACUUGAGCAAAGUCAAAGGCCCGGUUCUUUUAGACCGGAUGGGGGGAGAGGCCUUGCAACGCCCUAAUGUGCCCCCACAGCCAUGUUAGGAACAGGAGAAGAACCUCGUCCUAACAUGAGCAA
Molecule: long non-coding RNA, 199 nt
Filed under: Elaeis guineensis (African oil palm)
Lineage: Eukaryota; Viridiplantae; Streptophyta; Magnoliopsida; Arecales; Arecaceae
Description: long non-coding RNA (EGUI_LNC063377)
Source: RNAcentral